GAUGAACGCUGGCGGCGUGCCUAAUACAUGCAAGUCGAGCGAACGGACGAGAAGCUUGCUUCUCUGAUGUUAGCGGCGGACGGGUGAGUAACACGUGGAUAACCUACCUAUAAGACUGGGAUAACUUCGGAAAACCGGAGCUAAUACCGGAUAAUAUUUUGAACCGCAUGGUUCAAAAGUGAAAGACGGUCUUGCUGUCACUUAUAGAUGGAUCCGCGCUGCAUUAGCUAGUUGGUAAGGUAACGGCUUACCAAGGCAACGAUGCAUAGCCGACCUGAGAGGGUGAUCGGCCACACUGGAACUGAGACACGGUCCAGACUCCUACGGGAGGCAGCAGUAGGGAAUCUUCCGCAAUGGGCGAAAGCCUGACGGAGCAACGCCGCGUGAGUGAUGAAGGUCUUCGGAUCGUAAAACUCUGUUAUUAGGGAAGAACAUACGUGUAAGUAACUGUGCACAUCUUGACGGUACCUAAUCAGAAAGCCACGGCUAACUACGUG
RNAcentral lists this ribosomal RNA (497 nucleotides) under uncultured bacterium. Its description in RNAcentral is "partial 16S ribosomal RNA". It matches the Rfam family "Bacterial small subunit ribosomal RNA", at positions 28 to 507 of the family's 1533-position model. The record is from RNAcentral.